RNAcentral lists this ribosomal RNA (2043 nucleotides) under human oral metagenome. RNAcentral's name for it is "bacterial LSU rRNA". It matches the Rfam family "Bacterial large subunit ribosomal RNA", at positions 444 to 2486 of the family's 2925-position model. The record is from RNAcentral.
AUGGGGGGACCAUCCUCCAAGGCUAAAUACUCAUCAUCGACCGAUAGUGAACCAGUACCGUGAGGGAAAGGCGAAAAGAACCCCGGGAGGGGAGUGAAAUAGAACCUGAAACCUGAUGCAUACAAACAGUGGGAGCACCCUUGUGGUGUGACUGCGUACCUUUUGUAUAAUGGGUCAACGACUUACAUUCAGUAGCGAGCUUAACCGAAUAGGGGAGGCGUAGGGAAACCGAGUCUUAAUAGGGCGAACAGUUGCUGGGUGUAGACCCGAAACCGAGUGAUCUAUCCAUGGCCAGGUUGAAGGUGCCGUAACAGGUACUGGAGGACCGAACCCACGCAUGUUGCAAAAUGCGGGGAUGAGCUGUGGAUAGGGGUGAAAGGCUAAACAAACUCGGAGAUAGCUGGUUCUCCCCGAAAACUAUUUAGGUAGUGCCUCGAGCAAGACACUGAUGGGGGUAAAGCACUGUUAUGGCUAGGGGGUUAUUGCAACUUACCAACCCAUGGCAAACUAAGAAUACCAUCAAGUGGUUCCUCGGGAGACAGACAGCGGGUGCUAACGUCCGUUGUCAAGAGGGAAACAACCCAGACCGCCAGCUAAGGUCCCAAAUGAUAGAUUAAGUGGUAAACGAAGUGGGAAGGCCCAGACAGCCAGGAUGUUGGCUUAGAAGCAGCCAUCAUUUAAAGAAAGCGUAAUAGCUCACUGGUCGAGUCGUCCUGCGCGGAAGAUGUAACGGGGCUCAAAUCUAUAACCGAAGCUGCGGAUGCCAGUUUACUGGCAUGGUAGGGGAGCGUUCUGUAGGCCGAUGAAGGUGCAUUGUAAAGUGUGCUGGAGGUAUCAGAAGUGCGAAUGUUGACAUGAGUAGCGAUAAAGCGGGUGAAAAGCCCGCUCGCCGAAAGCCCAAGGUUUCCUACGCAACGUUCAUCGGCGUAGGGUGAGUCGGCCCCUAAGGCGAGGCAGAAAUGCGUAGUCGAUGGGAAACAGGUUAAUAUUCCUGUACUUGAUUCAAAUGCGAUGUGGGGACGGAGAAGGUUAGGUUAGCAAGCUGUUGGAAUAGCUUGUUUAAGCCGGUAGGUGGAAGACUUAGGCAAAUCCGGGUCUUCUUAACACCGAGAAGUGACGACGAGUGUCUACGGACAUGAAGUAACCGAUACCACGCUUCCAGGAAAAGCCACUAAGCUUCAGUUUGAAUCGAACCGUACCGCAAACCGACACAGGUGGGCAGGAUGAGAAUUCUAAGGCGCUUGAGAGAACUCGGGAGAAGGAACUCGGCAAAUUGAUACCGUAACUUCGGGAGAAGGUAUGCCCUCUAAGGUUAAGGACUUGCUCCGUAAGCCCUGGAGGGUCGCAGAGAAUAGGUGGCUGCGACUGUUUAUUAAAAACACAGCACUCUGCUAACACGAAAGUGGACGUAUAGGGUGUGACGCCUGCCCGGUGCUGGAAGGUUAAUUGAAGAUGUGCAAGCAUCGGAUCGAAGCCCCAGUAAACGGCGGCCGUAACUAUAACGGUCCUAAGGUAGCGAAAUUCCUUGUCGGGUAAGUUCCGACCCGCACGAAUGGCGUAACGAUGGCCACACUGUCUCCUCCCGAGACUCAGCGAAGUUGAAGUGGUUGUGAAGAUGCAAUCUACCCGCUGCUAGACGGAAAGACCCCGUGAACCUUUACUGUAGCUUUGCAUUGGACUUUGAAGUCACUUGUGUAGGAUAGGUGGGAGGCUUUGAAGCAGAGACGCCAGUCUCUGUGGAGCCGUCCUUGAAAUACCACCCUGGUGUCUUUGAGGUUCUAACCCAGACCCGUAAUCCGGGUCGGGGACCGUGCAUGGUAGGCAGUUUGACUGGGGCGGUCUCCUCCCAAAGAGUAACGGAGGAGUUCGAAGGUUACCUAGGUCCGGUCGGAAAUCGGACUGAUAGUGCAAUGGCAAAAGGUAGCUUAACUGCGAGACCGACAAGUCGAGCAGGUGCGAAAGCAGGACAUAGUGAUCCGGUGGUUCUGUAUGGAAGGGCCAUCGCUCAACGGAUAAAAGGUACUCCGGGGAUAACAGGCUGAU